RNAcentral lists this non-coding RNA (29 nucleotides) under Rattus norvegicus (Norway rat). The record is from RNAcentral. Lineage: Eukaryota; Metazoa; Chordata; Mammalia; Rodentia; Muridae.
GGAGAUUGCCAUAGGAUGUUGCUAGUCUG